Molecule: non-coding RNA, 28 nt
Filed under: Rattus norvegicus (Norway rat)
Lineage: Eukaryota; Metazoa; Chordata; Mammalia; Rodentia; Muridae
Source: RNAcentral
UAUGAAGGGACUGUCAUGUCAGCUCAAC